This 690-nucleotide ribosomal RNA is filed under the name Escherichia coli. RNAcentral describes it as "partial 23S ribosomal RNA". It matches the Rfam family "Bacterial large subunit ribosomal RNA", at positions 1 to 722 of the family's 2925-position model. RNAcentral also lists the same sequence under 1 other name. The record is from RNAcentral. Lineage: Bacteria; Pseudomonadati; Pseudomonadota; Gammaproteobacteria; Enterobacterales; Enterobacteriaceae.
GGGUUGUGAGGUUAAGCGACUAAGCGUACACGGUGGAUGCCCUGGCAGUCAGAGGCGAUGAAGGACGUGCUAAUCUGCGAUAAGCGUCGGUAAGGUGAUAUGAACCGUUAUAACCGGCGAUUUCCGAAUGGGGAAACCCAGUGUGUUUCGACACACUAUCAUUAACUGAAUCCAUAGGUUAAUGAGGCGAACCGGGGGAACUGAAACAUCUAAGUACCCCGAGGAAAAGAAAUCAACCGAGAUUCCCCCAGUAGCGGCGAGCGAACGGGGAGCAGCCCAGAGCCUGAAUCAGUGUGUGUGUUAGUGGAAGCGUCUGGAAAGGCGCGCGAUACAGGGUGACAGCCCCGUACACAAAAAUGCACAUGCUGUGAGCUCGAUGAGUAGGGCGGGACACGUGGUAUCCUGUCUGAAUAUGGGGGGACCAUCCUCCAAGGCUAAAUACUCCUGACUGACCGAUAGUGAACCAGUACCGUGAGGGAAAGGCGAAAAGAACCCCGGCGAGGGGAGUGAAAAAGAACCUGAAACCGUGUACGUACAAGCAGUGGGAGCACAGAGCAAUCUGUGUGACUGCGUACCUUUUGUAUAAUGGGUCAGCGACUUAUAUUCUGUAGCAAGGUUAACCGAAUAGGGGAGCCGAAGGGAAACCGAGUCUUAACUGGGCGUUAAGUUGCAGGGUAUAGACCCGAAACC